RNAcentral lists this ribosomal RNA (434 nucleotides) under uncultured bacterium. RNAcentral describes it as "partial 16S ribosomal RNA". It matches the Rfam family "Bacterial small subunit ribosomal RNA", at positions 29 to 506 of the family's 1533-position model. The record is from RNAcentral.
AGCGAACGCUGGCGGCAUGCCUAAUACAUGCAAGUCGAGCGCGCGUAGCAAUACCUCGGCGGCAGACGGGUAGGUAACGACGGGUGAGUUACCUGUUGGUUCGGUACAACACAGGGAGACUUGUGCUAAUACCGCAUAAGCUAUUACGGGGUAAGAUUUAUCGCCGCAAGAUCUGACCGAGGCUGAUUAGCUAGCUGGUGAGGUAACGGCUCACCAAGGCGACGAGCAGUAUCGGGACUGAGAGGAUGAUCAACCACAUUGGGACUGAGACACGAGCCAAACUCCGACGGGAGGCGGAAGUGGGGAAGAUUGGACAAGGGGGGGAACCGUGAGCUAGCCAUGCCGCGAGAGUGAUGAAGGCACUAGGAUUGUAAAGCUAUUUUGAGCGGGAAGAUAAUACCGGAACCGCACGGAUAGGCCCGGGCAAAUAUGGG